AUUGGGCACGGGCGCAAGUCUGCACCAGCUAGGCGCGAGAAAGACUAAGGUCUUUAGAUUGUAAACUUCUUUUAUCUGGGAGGAAAAAACGUCUUUCUAGACUCCUUGCCGGUCCCAAAGGAAUAAGCCCCGGCUAACUCCGUCCCAGCAGCCGCGGUAAUACGGAGGGUCCAACCGUUAUCCGGAUUCACUGGGUUUAAAGGGUGCCUAGGCGGGCAGGUAAUUCAAUGGUAAAAUCCCGGAGCUCAACUCCAAAACUCCCAUUGAUACUAUCUGUCUUGAAUAUUGUGGAGGUAAUCGAAAUACGUCAGGUACCGGUGAAAUGCUAGAUAUGACAUAGAACACCCAUGCGAAGCAGCUUCCUACGCAUAUAUGACGCUGAUCAGGAAC
RNAcentral lists this ribosomal RNA (390 nucleotides) under uncultured bacterium. Its description in RNAcentral is "bacterial SSU rRNA". It matches the Rfam family "Bacterial small subunit ribosomal RNA", at positions 363 to 754 of the family's 1533-position model. The record is from RNAcentral.